CUUUCACAUUUGUUUUUGAAUCUUGGGUCAUUUUCCUCAAAUAAGGCUAUUUAUCCACCGGACCUUUAGCGUAAUGUAAUUGGAGUCUCCUGAACGGAAAUCGAAAUCUUGGUGGUGGGUGUUGAGCUGAAUCAUGACUCAGAAAUUCGGUGGUGGGUUGCGCCCUACGGGAACUCCGUCAGUGGGUUGGUCCUUCGUGGUCGUCAUCUCCUCGCUUCUCGCCGGCGCCUCUAUUGUCCACAACAUCUACAAACCAAAUCUUACCUUGCCUCCGGUGGAUAGUGUUCAAACGACGAACAAGAAAGAUCCUAUUUAAAAAUAAAUUACUUUAUAAACAUUAGAGUAUAGUUAGUUUAUUUCUAUCCAGAUACAUAUUUUUCUUAUUGUUGAGCUCAAAUUGUCUUUUACAUACUCUGAUGUCAAAGUUCUCUAUCGUUGGGAAAGGAACAAAAGAAUAUUAAAAGGUUCAUCACGAGAGCUUCAAGUGUUAUAAGAUUCACCAGUUAUAACAAGGGCAUUCUUCCUUUUGUUAU
Benincasa hispida (wax gourd) is the source of this 533-nucleotide long non-coding RNA. RefSeq lists it as uncharacterized. The record is from RefSeq and is a predicted model, not a curated record. NCBI's taxonomy places the organism in Eukaryota, Viridiplantae, Streptophyta, Magnoliopsida, Cucurbitales, Cucurbitaceae.